CGCGUAGGCGGCUCGGUAAGUCUGGAGUGAAAUUCCUGCUUUUAAGGUGGGAACUGCUUUGGAUACUGUCGGGCUUGAGUGCAGGAGAGGUAAGUGGAAUUCCCGGUGUAGCGGUGAAAUGCGUAGAGAUCGGGAGGAACACCAGUGGCGAAGGCGACUUACUGGACUGUAACUGACGCUGAGGCGCGAAAGUGUGGGGAGCAAACA
RNAcentral lists this ribosomal RNA (207 nucleotides) under uncultured bacterium. RNAcentral's name for it is "partial 16S ribosomal RNA". It matches the Rfam family "Bacterial small subunit ribosomal RNA", at positions 568 to 774 of the family's 1533-position model. The record is from RNAcentral.